UUCAAGUUGGAUUUUCAAAAAGCUUUCGACUCCGUCAGCUGGUCAUGCCUUCUCAACGUUUUAUCUAUCCGAGGUUUCCCUCAGCGUUGGAUCAGUUGGAUUGAAUGCCUGCUGUCCAUGCCAACCUCUCGCGUCAUGUUGAAUGGGGAGCUGGGUGACUCUUUUGCUAAUAAGCGAGGCUUCAGACAGGGCGAUUCCAUAUCGCCAUAUCUUUUUAUUCUAGUGGCUGAUGUUCUACAACGCCUU
RNAcentral lists this ribosomal RNA (246 nucleotides) under Triticum aestivum (bread wheat). Its description in RNAcentral is "partial small subunit ribosomal RNA". The record is from RNAcentral. Lineage: Eukaryota; Viridiplantae; Streptophyta; Magnoliopsida; Poales; Poaceae.